GCCGGGUGUAGUGGCGGGCACCUGUAAUCCCAGCUACUCGGGAGGCUGAGGCUGGAGAAUCACUUGAACCCGGGAGGCAGAGGUUGCAGUGAGCCAGGAUCGCACCACUGCACUGCAGCCUGGGUAACAGAGUGAGACUCUGUCUCAA
Molecule: non-coding RNA, 148 nt
Filed under: Chlorocebus sabaeus (green monkey)
Lineage: Eukaryota; Metazoa; Chordata; Mammalia; Primates; Cercopithecidae
Source: Rfam by way of RNAcentral